GCGUUGUUCGGAUUCAUUGGGCGUAAAGGGUGCGUAGGUGGCGGGGCAAGUCAGGUGUGAAAUCCCGGGGCUCAACCCCGGAACUGCAUUUGAUACUGCCUUGCUCGAGUACUGGAGAGGAGACUGGAAUUUACGGUGUAGCAGUGAAAUGCGUAGAUAUCGUAAGGAAGACCAGUGGCGAAGGCGAGUCUCUGGACAGUUACUGACACUGAGGCACGAAGGCCAG
This 226-nucleotide ribosomal RNA is filed under the name uncultured bacterium. RNAcentral describes it as "partial 16S ribosomal RNA". It matches the Rfam family "Bacterial small subunit ribosomal RNA", at positions 538 to 763 of the family's 1533-position model. The record is from RNAcentral.